Molecule: long non-coding RNA, 204 nt
Filed under: Mytilus galloprovincialis (Mediterranean mussel)
Lineage: Eukaryota; Metazoa; Mollusca; Bivalvia; Mytilida; Mytilidae
Source: RNAcentral
AAAACUCGCAUACACCUUGUUCCUUAGCCUCGUAUAAAUACAGCUGAUAUUUAAAGACACUAAACAGUUAUUGUAUAUGUCAUAUACAGUCACUGACCUGAUAUCACUUUUCCUCAUGAAUAUCUAAAUAGAAAUUGCCGAAAUUAUGAUUAAUUAUUCAUACGACCUGUUCAACCUGUUCUUGUUUCCAAUGUAUACAACGAC